GGAGGAAUACUCAAGGGGUUGAAGAGGCGUCCCUGCUAAGGACGUAGGGCUGUUACAGGCCGCCUGGGUUCAAAUCCCAGUUCCUCCGCCA
Molecule: transfer RNA, 91 nt
Filed under: Christensenellaceae bacterium
Lineage: Bacteria; Bacillati; Bacillota; Clostridia; Christensenellales; Christensenellaceae
Description: tRNA-Ser
Rfam family: tRNA
About the family: Transfer RNA (tRNA) molecules are approximately 80 nucleotides in length. Their secondary structure includes four short double-helical elements and three loops (D, anti-codon, and T loops). Further hydrogen bonds mediate the characteristic L-shaped molecular structure. tRNAs have two regions of fundamental functional importance: the anti-codon, which is responsible for specific mRNA codon recognition, and the 3' end, to which the tRNAs corresponding amino acid is attached (by aminoacyl-tRNA synthetases). tRNAs cope with the degeneracy of the genetic code in two manners: having more than one tRNA (with a specific anti-codon) for a particular amino acid; and 'wobble' base-pairing, i.e. permitting non-standard base-pairing at the 3rd anti-codon position.
Source: RNAcentral